Molecule: small nucleolar RNA, 106 nt
Organism: Pongo abelii (Sumatran orangutan)
Lineage: Eukaryota; Metazoa; Chordata; Mammalia; Primates; Hominidae
Source: Ensembl
UUUUUUUUGUAGUUCAUAAGCAUGAUGAUUGGGUGUUCAUGCAUGCGUGUGUGAGAUGUGCCACCCUCGAACCUUGUGAAGAUAUUGGCAUAUUACCCGUCUGACA